GACGAACCAUGCAAACGUUAUUCGGAAUCACUGGGCUUAAAGCGUGCGUAGGCGGCUCAGAAAGUUGGGUGUGAAAUCCCUCGGCCUAACCGAGGAAUUGCGCCCAAAACUACUGGGCUCGAGGGAGUUAGAGGUGAGCGGAACUCACGGUGGAGCGGUGAAAUGCGUUGAUAUCGUGAGGAACACCGGAGGCGAAAGCGGCUCACUGGGGCUUUUCUGACGCUGAGGCACGAAAGCCAGGGGAGCAAACGGG
Molecule: ribosomal RNA, 253 nt
Filed under: uncultured bacterium
Lineage: Bacteria
Description: partial 16S ribosomal RNA
Rfam family: Bacterial small subunit ribosomal RNA
Source: RNAcentral